RNAcentral lists this ribosomal RNA (391 nucleotides) under uncultured bacterium. RNAcentral describes it as "bacterial SSU rRNA". It matches the Rfam family "Bacterial small subunit ribosomal RNA", at positions 772 to 1162 of the family's 1533-position model. The record is from RNAcentral.
ACUGAAUAGAUACCCGGGUAGUCCACGCCGUAAACGAUGGAUACUAGGUGUAGGAGGUAUCGACCCCUUCUGUGCCGGAGUUAAACACAAAUAAGUAUCCCACCUGGGGAGUACGGCCGCAAGGUUGAAACUCAAAGGAAUUGACGGGGGCCCGCACAAGCAGUGGAGUAUGUGGUUUAAUUCGAAAGCAACGCGAAGAACCUUACCAGGGCUUGACAUGCAGGUGAAUAUAUAAGAGAUUAUAUAGUCCUGGUACGCCUGUGCAGGUGGUGCAUGGUUGUCGUCAGCUCGUGUCGUGAGAUGUUGGGUUAAGUCCCGCAACGAGCGCAACCCUCGUUGUUAGUUGUCCAUCAUUAAGUUGGGUCACUCUAACGAGACUGCCGGUGACAAU